UGAGGAACAUGACCUUCGGCGGGGGAGUAGCCGGCCCCAACGGCCGGGUAAUACCGCGUACGACCACUUUGGGACAUCCCUAGGUGGUGAAAGCAGCAAUGCGCCGAUGGAGUGCCUCGCGGCCUAUCAGCUAGUUGGUGAGGUAACGGCUCACCAAGGCGACGACGGGUAGCUGGUCUGAGAGGAUGGCCAGCCACAUUGGGACUGAGACACGGCCCAGACUCCUACGGGGAGG
RNAcentral lists this ribosomal RNA (235 nucleotides) under uncultured bacterium. RNAcentral describes it as "partial 16S ribosomal RNA". It matches the Rfam family "Bacterial small subunit ribosomal RNA", at positions 118 to 348 of the family's 1533-position model. The record is from RNAcentral.